Long non-coding RNA from Rhinopithecus roxellana (golden snub-nosed monkey), 790 nucleotides. RefSeq lists it as uncharacterized. The record is from RefSeq and is a predicted model, not a curated record. Lineage: Eukaryota; Metazoa; Chordata; Mammalia; Primates; Cercopithecidae. The transcript has 3 exons.
GCGAGAAUGACAGAGACUUGGAGAGGGAGGCUGUGCUCAGGAUUUGUCCCCAGUGCCUUAUUUAGUUCACUUGGUGAGGUCAUGUUUUCAUGGAUAGUGUUGAUGCUAGUAGAUGUUCUUCAGUGUCUGUACAUUAAAAUUUUGGGCAUGCAGCACCAUAUGAGAGGUUUAAAAAAAUAAAAUUAAAAAAGAGAAAAGUGGUGGGAUUGCUGAAUCAGACAGAGCCGAUUGAUGAUUAGUAAUGGUGGCCAACAACCAGCUAGAAGCAAAGUACUUAGCAGGGCCUGAAAAUGCCAAAACUCUGAGGCCACUGACCUUCAAAAACUUCAACAGCCCUGAGUGAAACGUCCAAACACAUUUAUCCACCAUGCCAAGACCCUUUAUUUCUGCCCUCUGUGCAUCUCAGAAGUCUCUUUUUACCACACUGUCUAUAUACUGCAUGAGCCAUUUAUAUGAAAAUACCUGACACUCCAAGGCACCUUAUACUAUGUAUUCAACCAUGUAUCUCUAGUACCUAGCACAGUCCUGGCAUAUAGUUUGCUACUAAACAUUUGCGGAAUGAAGUAAUUAUCUUAUAUCCAGGUUCCAAGUUUUAAGGUGAUUUCUCACUAAAAACAAAGUGUUACAGUUCACAAAUAAUCUACUUCCUUUUUUACAGAUGGGAUUAACUUUAAUCUUAUCCCCUAAUAAUAUUACUUUAAUUUACUUCCAUCUAAAUAUACUGUCCUAAGACAGUAAUAAGAAGGAGAGUUGAAGCUAGAGCUUGAAGAAUUGUACAUGGUCCACACUG